UACGAAGGGGGCUAGCGUUGUUCGGAUUCACUGGGCGUAAAGGGUGCGUAGGUGGCGUCGUAAGUGGGGUGUGAAAUCCCGGGGCUUAACCCCGGGACUGCAUUCCAUACUGCGGUGCUUGAGGACUGGAGAGGAGACUGGAAUUUACGGUGUAGCAGUGAAAUGCGUAGAGAUCGUAAGGAAGACCAGUGGCGAAGGCGGGUCUCUGGACAGUUCCUGACACUGAGGCACGAAGGCCAGGGGAGCAAACGGG
Molecule: ribosomal RNA, 253 nt
Filed under: uncultured bacterium
Lineage: Bacteria
Description: partial 16S ribosomal RNA
Rfam family: Bacterial small subunit ribosomal RNA
Source: RNAcentral